Molecule: long non-coding RNA, 2579 nt
Organism: Silurus meridionalis
Lineage: Eukaryota; Metazoa; Chordata; Actinopteri; Siluriformes; Siluridae
Exons: 2
Source: RefSeq, a predicted model, not a curated record
UUUAUUGACUUUUAUUAGUCACACACAGCUUACAAGAACAAAACUUUGGUCAUCCAGAUAUCAAAGUUCAAUCUGCUGAUGAGUAGAAAUGAUCUUGAAACAAAUCUAAGCGACACAUCAUUACACAACUGCCCUCUUGUGUCCAGUCACUGCAUUGCAGGAGAGUCGCAUUAUGAGCAAAGGCACAUACGACAGCUUUAAAAUGCCACUAUUAGGCAUCAUAAAGGGUCAUUAGAGGGUCAUUAGAUUCCGAGAUUAGGAUCCGAGACUCCCCAUAAUGCAUUAGGAAUCCCCUAUGACAAGUUAAAAAUAGACUUAGGGGGUCACGUUAUAAGACUUGACUCAAUUCGAGCACUGAUAGAAACCAUGAUUAUUAUAAAGAAAUGCAGAAUAACAGAGCGCUGCAUCACAGACAGGAAUCUCACAGUGAGAAUGAAUCUCAUCACUUAAGCAAGAAACACAAUGAGCCCAAAUAAACACGUCUCCUUUCACUGGAGCCACAACUGCACCGUCUGCAUACAUCAUCUCUAACAAAAGCAUCGAUAUUCACCUCACAAAACUACCCCAGGUUUUCCCUGCAUUUUUUCUGUGCCUUACAGUUUUCCUGUGGAUCUGAUAUUAAGAUGUGCAAAUUCUAGAAAAUAAUCCUCGUCUUUUAGCCACUGGUGCAGUUCGCUACAGGUGUGUUUUGAAAGCUCUGACUCAAAAAAAGCGAUGAAAUGAGCAGCUUUUACUAUUAUUAUGUAGCAUAAUUGCAUUAUAUGUACAUUGAGUUCAGAAAUCUGGUUAGAAGGUGUGAAUAACUUUCCUUAAACAACCGAGUUAUGAUGUUUUUGCAUGAUGUUGACUGCAAAACUCAUAGCUAACUGUUAGCAUGCUCAUUCUAACUGGUUAAGCAAGAACAGCACCUUCCUACUGUAGAUAGUCUGAGUACUGCUUGAUAUACGGCUCCUGAUAUCAUAUCUCAUAUAUUGUAAACAUACACAGUGUCGUAUUCCAUUUAUUUAAUGUUAUGAAGGUUUGUACUCAUUCAGCUACAAGGGUGUGAGUAAAGUCGGGUACUGAUGCAGGUGAGAUGAUGUGAGGAGGCCUGGGGUGCAGUCAGCGUUCACAUUGACCAUAAAAUGUGAGAUUAAAGCUCUAUGGCAGGAGACCCUCUGUGCACAGGGGCACGUUCAUGCUGGAACAGGUUCGGAUCUCCUGGUACGAAAGCAUUCAGACACAGACGGGUAGAAUUGCGGUAAAAAUUGGGAGAAAAAGCAGAUAUGGCUGGAAAAGGCAGGUGUCACAAUGCUUUAGUUUGGAAAUGAAGCUCGACAGAGAAAGUCUUCGGGACAGAGGACGUUCAGAUUAUAAUUUGGGUUUGAUUAUGUCCAGGAAAAAAAAAAAGUGCAGGAAGUGUUUUCUAGCAAACUGUUGCUAUGGUGCUGAUUUACACUAUUUAUAAACACUGUGUUCAUUCCUCACUGAGCUUUAAUAAUUUGAGCACAGGCCUUCCAUCCGCUCCAUUAAAGACAAAGCAAGACACAAAAAGAAAGAAAAAUGCAGCGUAGUGUUUUAAUAAUGGUAAGUGUUAAGCUUCAACUUAAUACAGAUGAAAGCAUCGCAGGGCACACGAACACUCGGCAGGACAAAGAAACUGUAACGCGCACAGCCUAAAGAAUACACAUCAACAUCGUUCACCCUAAGGAUGGAAACUCAUCUAGCUAGAAAAGUGUUAAUUAGCAGAAAAGACCGACAUGCAGUGCGUCAUGUCAUUGAACUAGAGCUCAAGGCACUGGGACCUAGCAUGGCUCCUUGCGUCUGUAGACCUGAGAAGCAGUGUGAGGCAUUAGCAUUGCCAUGACAGCUCUCUGAAGUCACGUUUAGGAGCAAAAAACAGUACAGCGGACUAAAGAUGGGAUGGAGGAGGAUGCACCAGGGGGGAAAAAUGUGUUCUCAUAAGCGACAGGAUGAUGAAAAGGUUUCGGUUUCGCCUUUAGUGCUCAGGAACAUUGACUUACAAUGGAGACGCGUUCUGAUGACCCCAUCGUAAGUCGAGACAUGGCUUAGGUGUCCUAAAGGAUGAUCAGCAUGGUGUAGUGUACUGUAAUUUGUUAACACAUUACAGCACAAAUAAGCAAAAUAGAGCAAUUUUACAGUAGCUUACUAUAUAAACAUGUAUGUGAACGAGCGCAUAAACGCUGCUAAGCUGCCUGCCGUGCCAAAUGUCAUAUUUUUACAACUUUGCCGAAUCUCUGUUUUCGUCGUAAGAUGGAAAAAUCAUUAUGAACCAUCGUAACUCGGGGACCUUUCAAUGUACAUGUUGGGGGGAAAAAAAAUAAAAAUAAAAACAAUAACGCCUGCAGCGAAAACAGAAAAACUAGCAAGUCAUCGUCCCACUGUUACAGAAAAAAUACAGAAAGGUUUGGCUCAGUCCUGAGUCACAGAAAUGAUUCCUACCUUUCAAAUAUGAGUGAUAAAACACACACACACACACACACACACACACACACACACACACACACACACACACACACACACACACUCACACACACACACACACACACACACACACACACACACACACACACACACAC